CUGCAUGGCUGUCGUCAGCUCGUGUCGUGAGAUGUUGGGUUAAGUCCCGCAACGAGCGCAACCCUUGCCUUUAGUUGCCAGCAGUUCGGCUGGCACUCUAAAGGGACUGCCGGUGUUAAACCGGAGGAAGGUGGGGGAUGACGUCAAGUCCUCAUGGCCUUUAUGACCAGGGCUACACACGUACUACAAUGGCCGAUACAAAGGGCAGCGACACUGCGAGGUGAAGCCAAUCCCGUAAAAUCGGUCUCAGUCCGGAUUGGAGUCUGCAACUCGACUCCAUGAAGUUGGAAUCGCUAGUAAUCGUGGAUCAGCAUGACACGGUGAAUACGUUCCCGGGCCUU
This 341-nucleotide ribosomal RNA is filed under the name uncultured Desulfobulbus sp. Its description in RNAcentral is "bacterial SSU rRNA". It matches the Rfam family "Bacterial small subunit ribosomal RNA", at positions 1041 to 1382 of the family's 1533-position model. The record is from RNAcentral. Lineage: Bacteria; Pseudomonadati; Thermodesulfobacteriota; Desulfobulbia; Desulfobulbales; Desulfobulbaceae.